Molecule: ribosomal RNA, 242 nt
Filed under: uncultured bacterium
Lineage: Bacteria
Description: partial 16S ribosomal RNA
Rfam family: Bacterial small subunit ribosomal RNA
Source: RNAcentral
GAUUAGUGGCGAACGGGUGAGUAACACGUGAGUAACCUGCCCUUGACUUUGGGAUAACUCGGGGAAACUCGGGCUAAUACCGGAUAUGAGAUCGCAUCGCAUGGUGUGGUUUGGAAAGAAUUUCGGUCAAGGAUGGACUCGCGGCCUAUCAGCUGGUUGGUGGGGUAAUGGCCUACCAAGGCGACGACGGGUAGCCGGCCUGAGAGGGCGACCGGCCACACUGGGACUGAGACACGGCCCAG